Molecule: ribosomal RNA, 254 nt
Filed under: uncultured bacterium
Lineage: Bacteria
Description: partial 16S ribosomal RNA
Rfam family: Bacterial small subunit ribosomal RNA
Source: RNAcentral
CACGUAGGAGGCGAGCGUUGUCCGGAAUCAUUGGGCGUAAAGAGCUCGUAGGCGGCUUGGCAAGUCGGGUGUGAAACCUCCAGGCUCAACCUGGAGACGCCACUCGAUACUGCUAUGGCUAGAGUCCGGUAGGGGACCACGGAAUUCCUGGUGUAGCGGUGAAAUGCGCAGAUAUCAGGAGGAACACCAGCGGCGAAGGCGGCGCUCUGGGCCGGAACUGACGCUGAGGAGCGAAAGCAUGGGUAGCGAACAGG